This is a non-coding RNA of Aedes albopictus (Asian tiger mosquito), 48 nucleotides long. NCBI's taxonomy places the organism in Eukaryota, Metazoa, Arthropoda, Insecta, Diptera, Culicidae. The record is from Rfam.
CAAACGGUUCUUUUCAGAACCAUCGGAAAUGCUUCCUAGAGAGUUAAU